This is an RNA transcript of Prionailurus viverrinus (fishing cat), 2816 nucleotides long. It is a transcript of the gene named fibroblast growth factor 11, with no coding region annotated. The transcript is spliced from 6 exons. Lineage: Eukaryota; Metazoa; Chordata; Mammalia; Carnivora; Felidae. The record is from RefSeq and is a predicted model, not a curated record.
GCGGGGGGCAGGGGCCCUGGGACUUAUCCUCGGCUCCAGUGGGUGGGGCGGUGAGUUGGGACCCCAGCGUCAAGAGCAUGCCCCGGUGAGCGCGCUGGGGGCGCCUGCCGGUUUGGGGGUGUCUCCUCCCGGGGCGCCAUGGCGGCGCUGGCCAGUAGCCUGAUCCGGCAGAAGCGGGAGGUCCGCGAGCCCGGGGGCAGCCGGCCGGUGUCGGCGCAGCGGCGCGUGUGUCCCCGCGGCACCAAGUCCCUUUGCCAGAAGCAGCUCGUCAUCCUUCUGUCCAAGGUGCGACUGUGCGGGGGGCGGCCCGCGCGGCCGGACCGCGGCCCUGAGCCUCAGCUCAAAGGCAUCGUCACCAAAUUGUUCUGCCGCCAGGGUUUCUACCUCCAGGCGAAUCCUGACGGGACCAUCCAGGGCACCCCAGAGGACACCAGCUCUUUCACCCACUUCAACCUGAUCCCCGUGGGGCUCCGUGUGGUCACCAUCCAGAGUGCCAAGCUGGGUCACUACAUGGCCAUGAACGCCGAGGGGCUGCUCUACAGCUCGCUCUUGCUGAUGUGCUGUUACUGCCCACCGCAGAACACCUCCGCUAGGGUCCCUCCCAUCCCUGCUGCCUGCGUAGCCCCCCAAGAACCACCAGGCUCUUUGGCCAACUCUUCCGGCCUCUUGGAACUCCUGCACAUCCUACUCCCUCCAGAUUUCAUGGUUACUGAACUUCGCCAGACUCAGCCCGGAGAGGGGCUGGCAAGAGAGGCUGGAAGGAGAGUAGAGAGCAGCCGCAUUUCACAGCUGAGUGUCGCUUUAAGGAAUGCGUCUUCGAGAAUUACUACGUCCUGUACGCCUCUGCUCUCUAUCGCCAGCGCCGCUCUGGCCGGGCCUGGUACCUGGGCCUGGACAAGGAGGGCCGAGUCAUGAAGGGAAAUCGAGUCAAGAAGACCAAGGCAGCGGCCCACUUUGUGCCCAAGCUCCUGGAAGUGGCCAUGUACCGGGAGCCUUCUCUCCACAGUGUCCCUGAGACCUCCCCUUCCAGUCCCCCUGCCCCCUGAAAUGUAGUCCGUGGACUGGAGGCUCCUGGCACUUGCACGGAGCCAGCCACAGCCACAGCCUGUCUCCCAGCCCUGCUCCCGGCCCCGCCCCCACCCGUGCCGCCACACUCAUGCCCUGAGCAGCCAGGUCCCACCCGGUGCUCGAUCCUGAGGGAGCCAAGGGGCUGGUUGUGACUCCCCAGGCUUCCCUGCUCCUCGGGCCUGGGAGUAUAGAGAGGGGGAGGCUGACAGUGGUCCUGGCUGAUCCCUUCUUUCCUUCCACACUCACAGCCCCGCAAAGCCUUUUCCCAAGAAGGCGCCCGGGUUCCCAAAAUGACAGAACCAGGACAUAAAUAUUCCCCACCCCGGGGCUCAGCCAGUUCCUGGAGCCCUAUGCCCUUUUCAUUGCCACUGAACCAUAGAUUUAUAGGUCUACUGGAGCUCAGGAUCAGUUUCCUUUUUUCCCUCCUCCACCUUCUGCCUUGUUCUGGACAGGUUCUGGAACACCAGGCACCCUAGCCAGGGCCCUUUUUGCACUCAGGCUCUGGGCUGGAAUGCUGGCAUGCUGCCAGGCUCUGUUCUGGAUCCAUCAGGCUUCUGUCCUUGACCCAGAUGGACCCCCUGGUUUCCAGGUAGAGAGGGGCUGGGUAUGAGUCCUGUCCAGCUGCUGGCCUUGGCCUGAACUAGGACCGGUCCCAGAACACCACAGUUUUAACUUUCUUAUCCCAAAGACACCCACUGCUAGAGCAUGGUGUUCUAGACACAUAUAUAUGGAGCCAUACUUCCUCCUGAAUCUCGGCUCUAGGACGUAGACCAGGACUCAGCCCUUUCCUCCAGGAUGGAAACGAGGCCUGAAUAGCCAUAUUAAUGCUCAUAUAGAGGAAGCUCUAGACCCAUCCUCCUACCUUCUCUAGUAAUGCGUUUCUUGGUGAAUCAAGAAACACUUCUUGUUUUUCCUAGGUUUUCUAAAAAUCUGAUUCUUCCUAUAGAAUGCUAACCUUAUUUAUACAUGCAGUUUCUAGCUCCUGCAACUCAGCUGGGGUCCCGCCGGGGAAACAGAGUCUGAGGAAGGGCAGAGGAGUUUGGGCAGGAAUCCUUGGCUCACAGUAGGGAGGUUGGGAUGGGCAGGGGGCCACAACCAUGGCAUGUUUUGGCUGUGCUUGGGUUGGGGGGGGACAUGAACACUUAGCUACCUCAGCAGGAAUUCCUCCCAGGUCCCCUUUAAAGCUGAGGUCUUUAGGGUAAUGAGUCUAGAAUAAAAAGGAUAAGAGGAGGGACACAACCUUGAUCCCCCAGUGCAGAGACCCCAGUUCAGCAAUAAGUUCCACCCCACUCCCCUACAAAUCAGGCCAAGGAGGGCGAGGGCCUCUCGGGGCUCUAGACCUCAUAUACCCCCAGAGCUUCUGACUGACUAGAACUUGCUUAACUUACAGCUUAUAACCUCAGCUAAGUUUUAGGUACCCAAAAAGGGCCUGACUAGAUUUUCCCAAAAAAAGCGUGGAGAGCUUGGGGCAGGCCUGGAAAAGACCAGGAAGCCACCAGUGACUAGGAGGGACACUCUGAGUAGCCUCAGACCUGGGCAGGGUAGAGGAGAGGGCCCUAAAGGGAGGGGCUGGGGCUCAGAGGCUGGUCACUUUUCCUCAGGCUCUAUUUCUGGCUUGUUGCAAGAGGGGCGCAUAUUCCCCUCACCCACACAGACCCCGCUCAGGCUCCACCCGUCUCCUGGCUCUGCUCCCAGGGGACAGGGUCUCCACUCCAUGCUUUCUCAAUUAAAGACGAUUUGUACAACGA